CUCCGGAUGCAGCCGUCUGGAGCGCCGUCCUGCUGCCCCCGCCCUUCCUUUCUCGUGCUCCCGUCCGGCGGGCUCCUCUUUCCCCAAGUUUCCGCGUCUGGGGAAAUGGGGGUAAUGGCCGGGGUGUCGGCCCGUUCCCGGCUGGGUGACUUCGGGCAGGUUCACACUUCGAAGUGCACACUUGCGUGAAAAACCAUGGUUGUGGGAGGUCAGCGCAUGUGUGCGUUCACGUUAGCGGUCAACAAACGAUUCAGGAUUCUGAGCUCUGCUUUUCUUCGUUGGAAGAGGAGUAGGUAUUCACACCGCCCUGCAUGAAGCCUGUCCUGUCAGAGAAGAAGGUGAUGUGACCACUGAGCUGACACAUUUCAAGAUGCUGGCAUUAAAAACCAGAGCGAUGCAGCCACAAACCAAGGAGAAACAGCCAACACCAGAAGCUGGAAGAGUCAGGGAACAGUGUCUCCCCUGGAGCCCCCAGAAGGAGUACAGCCCUGUCAACACCUUACUUUGCCCCAGUGAUACUGAUUUUGGACUCCGGGGCCCCAGAACUGAGAGAAUAAAUUUCUGUUUGUUUUAA
Prionailurus viverrinus (fishing cat) is the source of this 574-nucleotide long non-coding RNA. RefSeq lists it as uncharacterized. The record is from RefSeq and is a predicted model, not a curated record. The transcript is spliced from 2 exons. NCBI's taxonomy places the organism in Eukaryota, Metazoa, Chordata, Mammalia, Carnivora, Felidae.